RNAcentral lists this long non-coding RNA (533 nucleotides) under Felis catus (domestic cat). Its description in RNAcentral is "lncRNA (ENSFCAG00000048792.1)". Lineage: Eukaryota; Metazoa; Chordata; Mammalia; Carnivora; Felidae. The record is from RNAcentral.
GAAUUCUACAAGCUUUGUUGCACCUUUCAGUUCACUCAUAUUGCAGAAUAAAAUGUGCAUCUUAAUAAUUGAACUUCUACUGAAUGUCUCCAGUCUUGAUUUUAAAAACUACUGGUGGGGCUAAGAUGUGUUUUGUGUUUUUCUAAAUUUUUUUUAACGUUUAUUCAUUUUUUUUUUUUUUGAUAGAGACAGAGCGUGACUGGGGGAGGGGCAGAGAGAGAGGGAGACACCGAAUCCAAAGCAGGCUCCAGGCCCCGAACUGACAGCACAGAGCUUGACCCUGGGCUCAAACUCACGGACCUGAGCCGAAGUCGGACGGCCAACCGACUGAGCCACCCGGGCACCCAAGAUGUGUUUUUAUCUACUGUGAAGGUAACAGUUUGAAAGGUACUUUAGAGACGUGGAAAUGAGACCAAUGGAAGAAUGAAAAGAGCUCAAGUGUGUUUCUCUGUGUUUUCCUGAAAUAUGAACACCAAGAUAUGUCAAGAUAUGUGCUUCAACUUGUGAAUACGUGAAAAUGGAUGUAUUCUUUA